CCUACGGGAGGCAGCAGUGAGGAAUAUUGGUCAAUGGGCGGAAGCCUGAACCAGCCAAGUAGCGUGCGGGAUGAAGGCCCUACGGGUCGUAAACCGCUUUUGCACGGGGAUAACACCCUCCACUUGUGGAGGUCUGCAGGUACCGUGCGAAUAAGGGCCGGCUAAUUCCUUGCCAGCAGCCGCGGUAAUACGGAAGGCCCGAGCGUUAUCCGGAUUCAUUGGGCUUAAAGGGAGCGUAGGCGGGCGUUCAAGUCAGCUGUAAAAGCGCGCGGCUCAACCGCGCGCCGCAGUUGAAACUGGACGCCUUGAGUUCACAACAGGCAGGCGGAAUUCGUGGUGUAGCGGUGAAAUGCAUAGAUAUCACGAGGAACCCCGAUUGCGAAGGCAGCCUGCCGGGGUGCGACUGACGCUGAGGCUCGAAGGUGCGGGUAUCAAACAGGAUUAGAUACCCCAGUAGUC
This 459-nucleotide ribosomal RNA is filed under the name uncultured bacterium. RNAcentral describes it as "partial 16S ribosomal RNA". It matches the Rfam family "Bacterial small subunit ribosomal RNA", at positions 338 to 795 of the family's 1533-position model. The record is from RNAcentral.